GUGUUAAUUUUAGCUUACCUGGGUAAUAUUAGUUAAGGUCUUUAAACCCAAAGAAUUUGGCGGUAUUUCAUUCCAUUCAGAGGAACCUAUCUCGUAAUUGAUAGUACACGAUUAACUUUACUUAAUUUAUUUGUUUGUAUAUCUCCGUUAUCAGAAAAUCUUUUUGGAGUUAUAAUUUUCCUGUUUUUUCAUUAGAAAUUAUUUCAGGUCAAGGUGCAGCUUAUAAUUAAGUGUAUGAUGGGUUACAAUAAAUUUUUUUUUAUUAUGGAUUUAAUUUUGAAAAUUUUUAAUGAAGGUGGAUUUGAUAGUAAUUUAAUUUAUUUAAUUUAAUUGAUAUUGGCUCU
Molecule: ribosomal RNA, 344 nt
Filed under: Sphingonotus imitans
Lineage: Eukaryota; Metazoa; Arthropoda; Insecta; Orthoptera; Acrididae
Description: partial small subunit ribosomal RNA
Source: RNAcentral